RNAcentral lists this non-coding RNA (107 nucleotides) under Thermoanaerobacterales bacterium. RNAcentral describes it as "SAM-I sequence". It matches the Rfam family "SAM riboswitch aptamer (S box leader)". Rfam says of the family: The SAM riboswitch is found upstream of a number of genes which code for proteins involved in methionine or cysteine biosynthesis in Gram-positive bacteria. The record is from RNAcentral. Lineage: Bacteria; Bacillati; Bacillota; Clostridia; Thermoanaerobacterales.
CUCUUAUCGAGAGUGGUGGAGGGACGGGCCCAAUGAAACCCGGCAACCGGCCCAGAAUGGGCGGCGGUGCCAAUUCCUGCAGAAUGUUACAUUCUGGGAGAUAAGAG